This 429-nucleotide ribosomal RNA is filed under the name Pseudomonadota bacterium. Its description in RNAcentral is "Proteobacteria bacterium partial 16S ribosomal RNA". It matches the Rfam family "Bacterial small subunit ribosomal RNA", at positions 355 to 776 of the family's 1533-position model. Lineage: Bacteria; Pseudomonadati; Pseudomonadota. The record is from RNAcentral.
UGGGGAAUAUUGGACAAUGGGCGAAAGCCUGAUCCAGCCAUGCCGCGUGUGUGAAGAAGGUCUUCGGAUUGUAAAGCACUUUAAGUUGGGAGGAAGGGCAGUAAGCGAAUACCUUGCUGUUUUGACGUUACCGACAGAAUAAGCACCGGCUAACUCUGUGCCAGCAGCCGCGGUAAUACAGAGGGUGCAAGCGUUAAUCGGAAUUACUGGGCGUAAAGCGCGCGUAGGUGGUUCGUUAAGUUGAAUGUGAAAGCCCCGGGCUCAACCUGGGAACUGCAUUCAAGACUGGCGAGCUAGAGUAGGGCAGAGGGUGGUGGAAUUUCCUGUGUAGCGGUGAAAUGCGUAGAUAUAGGAAGGAAAACCAGUGGCGAAGGCGACCACCUGGGCUCAUACUGACACUGAGGUGCGAAAGCGUGGGGAGCAAACAGG